RNAcentral lists this ribosomal RNA (910 nucleotides) under Discosia neofraxinea. RNAcentral's name for it is "eukaryotic LSU rRNA". It matches the Rfam family "Eukaryotic large subunit ribosomal RNA", at positions 31 to 968 of the family's 3401-position model. Lineage: Eukaryota; Fungi; Ascomycota; Sordariomycetes; Amphisphaeriales; Sporocadaceae. The record is from RNAcentral.
GACUUAAGCAUAUCAAUAAGCGGAGGAAAAGAAACCAACAGGGAUUGCCCUAGUAACGGCGAGUGAAGCGGCAACAGCUCAAAUUUGAGAUCUGGCCCUUGGGUCCGAAUUGUAAUUUGUAGAGGAUGUUUUUGGUGCGGUAUCUUCCGAGUUCCUUGGAACAGGACGCCUUAGAGGGUGAGAGCCCCGUACGGUUGAAUACCUAGCCUUUGUAAAACUCCUUCGACGAGUCGAGUAGUUUGGGAAUGCUGCUCUAAAUGGGAGGUAAAUUUCUUCUAAAGCUAAAUACCGGCCAGAGACCGAUAGCGCACAAGUAGAGUGAUCGAAAGAUGAAAAGCACUUUGAAAAGAGGGUUAAAUAGCACGUGAAAUUGUUGAAAGGGAAGGAUUUAUGACCAGACUUUUUCUAGGCGAAUCAUCCGGUGUUCUCACCGGUGCACUUCGUUUAGUUUAGGCCAGCAUCGAUUUUCGGAGAGGGAUAAAAGCUUUGGGAAUGUGGCUCCUCCGGGAGUGUUAUAGCCCAUUGUAUAAUACCUUUCUGGGGAUCGAGGUACGCGCUUCUGCAAGGAUGCUGGCGUAAUGGUUAUCAAUCACCCGUCUUGAAACACGGACCAAGGAGUCGAACAUUUGUGCAAGUGUUUGGGUGUUAAACCCUCACGCGUAAUGAAAGUGAACGGAGGUGAGAGCCCUUACGGGUGCAUCAUCGACCGAUCCUGAUGUCUUCGGAUGGAUUUGAGUAAGAGCAUAACUGUUCGGACCCGAAAGAUGGUGAACUAUGCGUGGAUAGGGUGAAGCCAGAGGAAACUCUGGUGGAGGCUCGCAGCGGUUCUGACGUGCAAAUCGAUCGUCAAAUCUGCGCAUGGGGGCGAAAGACUAAUCGAACCAUCUAGUAGCUGGUUACCGCCGAAGUU